CCAGAGAACUUAGCAGAGAUGCUUUGGUGCCUUCGGGAACUCUGAGACAGGUGCUGCAUGGCUGUCGUCAGCUCGUGUUGUGAAAUGUUGGGUUAAGUCCCGCAACGAGCGCAACCCUUAUCCUUUGUUGCCAGCGGCUCGGCCGGGAACUCAAAGGAGACUGCCGGUGAUAAACCGGAGGAAGGUGGGGAUGACGUCAAGUCAUCAUGGCCCUUACGGCCAGGGCUACACACGUGCUACAAUGGCGCAUACAAAGAGAAGCGACCUCGCGAGAGCAAGCGGACCUCAUAAAGUGCGUCGUAGUCCGGAUUGGAGUCUGCAACUCGACUCCAUGAAGUCGGAAUCGCUAGUAAUCGUAGAUCAGAGUGCUACGGUGAAUACGUUCCCGGGCCUUGUACACACCGCCCGUCACACCAUGGGAGUGGGUUGCAAAAGAAGUAGGUAGCUUAACCUUCGGGAGGGCGCUUACCACUUUGUGAUUCAUGACUGGGGUGAAGUCGUAACAAGGUAAGCGUAGCGAG
This 521-nucleotide ribosomal RNA is filed under the name uncultured bacterium. RNAcentral's name for it is "bacterial SSU rRNA". It matches the Rfam family "Bacterial small subunit ribosomal RNA", at positions 988 to 1509 of the family's 1533-position model. The record is from RNAcentral.